This 624-nucleotide ribosomal RNA is filed under the name uncultured bacterium. Its description in RNAcentral is "bacterial SSU rRNA". It matches the Rfam family "Bacterial small subunit ribosomal RNA", at positions 338 to 954 of the family's 1533-position model. The record is from RNAcentral.
CCUACGGGAGGCAGCAGUGGGGAAUUUUGGACAAUGGGCGCAAGCCUGAUCCAGCAAUGCCGCGUGCAGGAUGAAGGCCUUCGGGUUGUAAACUGCUUUUGUACGGAACGAAACGGUCCUUUCUAAUACAGGGGGCUAAUGACGGUACCGUAAGAAUAAGCACCGGCUAACUACGUGCCAGCAGCCGCGGUAAUACGUAGGGUGCGAGCGUUAAUCGGAAUUACUGGGCGUAAAGCGUGCGCAGGCGGUUAUAUAAGACAGAUGUGAAAUCCCCGGGCUCAACCUGGGACCUGCAUUUGUGACUGUAUAGCUAGAGUACGGUAGAGGGGGAUGGAAUUCCGCGUGUAGCAGUGAAAUGCGUAGAUAUGCGGAGGAACACCGAUGGCGAAGGCAAUCCCCUGGACCUGUACUGACGCUCAUGCACGAAAGCGUGGGGAGCAAACAGGAUUAGAUACCCUGGUAGUCCACGCCCUAAACGAUGUCAACUGGUUGUUGGGUCUUCACUGACUCAGUAACGAAGCUAACGCGUGAAGUUGACCGCCUGGGGAGUACGGCCGCAAGGUUGAAACUCAAANAGAGUUAGACGGCGUGAGACGUAGCGACGGACGACGACGAGGGAGGAGG